UACGUAGGGGGCAAGCGUUGUCCGGAAUCAUUGGGCGUAAAGAGCGUGUAGGCGGCCCGGUAAGUCCGCUGUGAAAGUCCAGGGCUCAACCCUGGGAUGCCGGUGGAUACUGUCGGGCUAGAGUGCGGAAGAGGCGAGUGGAAUUCCUGGUGUAGCGGUGAAAUGCGCAGAUAUCAGGAGGAACACCGAUUGCGAAGGCAGCUCGCUGGGACGUCACUGACGCUGAGACGCGAAAGCGUGGGGAGCAAACAGG
This 253-nucleotide ribosomal RNA is filed under the name uncultured bacterium. RNAcentral's name for it is "partial 16S ribosomal RNA". It matches the Rfam family "Bacterial small subunit ribosomal RNA", at positions 524 to 776 of the family's 1533-position model. The record is from RNAcentral.